UGAGGAAUAUUGGUCAAUGGGGGCAACCCUGAACCAGCCAAGUCGCGUGAAGGAUGAAGGUCUUAUGGAUUGUAAACUUCUUUUACACGGGAAUAAAGUGGGGGACGUGUCCCCCUUUGCAUGUACCGUGUGAAUAAGGAUCGGCCAACUCCGUGCCAGCAGCCGCGGUAAUACGGAGGAUCCGAGCGUUAUCCGGAUUUAUUGGGUUUAAAGGGUGCGCAGUCGGGAUGUUAAGUCGGCGGUGAAAUUUUGCAGCUCAACUGUAAAAGUGCCUUCGAUACUGGCCUCCUUGAGUGUGGAUGAAGUAGGCGGAAUUUGUGGUGUAGCGGUGAAAUGCUUAGAUAUCACGAGGAACUCCGAUUGCGCAGGCAGCUUACUAAGCCACAACUGACGCUCAUGCACGAAGGCGUGGAGAUCAAACA
Molecule: ribosomal RNA, 422 nt
Filed under: uncultured bacterium
Lineage: Bacteria
Description: bacterial SSU rRNA
Rfam family: Bacterial small subunit ribosomal RNA
Source: RNAcentral